This 128-nucleotide small nucleolar RNA is filed under the name Meriones unguiculatus (Mongolian gerbil). Its description in RNAcentral is "Small nucleolar RNA SNORA40 (ENSMUGG00000002824.1)". It matches the Rfam family "Small nucleolar RNA SNORA40". From Rfam's summary of the family: The snoRNA ACA 40 belongs to the H/ACA family of snoRNAs and guides the pseudouridylation of 28S rRNA subunit at position U4565. NB This family has a high threshold value to exclude a large number of closely related sequences that do not appear to have conserved H and ACA boxes, and may be pseudogenes. The record is from RNAcentral. Lineage: Eukaryota; Metazoa; Chordata; Mammalia; Rodentia; Muridae.
UACACUCUGAUUGUGUUUUUGUUCAAUGCUUGGACAAAAGCAUGGAAAUAGAUGCAAGCAUAAAUCCUCAUUUGCCAUCCACAACUCAUUGAUGAGUGUGAGUUUUGAUACACACAUGAAGGAACACA